GGAGAGGUGCGAGAGCGGCCGAAUCGGACGGUCUCGAAAACCGUAGUCCUGAAAGGGACCGUGGGUUCGAAUCCCACCCUCUCCGCCA
This 88-nucleotide transfer RNA is filed under the name Nitrospira sp. RNAcentral describes it as "tRNA-Ser". It matches the Rfam family "tRNA". From Rfam's summary of the family: Transfer RNA (tRNA) molecules are approximately 80 nucleotides in length. Their secondary structure includes four short double-helical elements and three loops (D, anti-codon, and T loops). Further hydrogen bonds mediate the characteristic L-shaped molecular structure. tRNAs have two regions of fundamental functional importance: the anti-codon, which is responsible for specific mRNA codon recognition, and the 3' end, to which the tRNAs corresponding amino acid is attached (by aminoacyl-tRNA synthetases). tRNAs cope with the degeneracy of the genetic code in two manners: having more than one tRNA (with a specific anti-codon) for a particular amino acid; and 'wobble' base-pairing, i.e. permitting non-standard base-pairing at the 3rd anti-codon position. The record is from RNAcentral. Lineage: Bacteria; Pseudomonadati; Nitrospirota; Nitrospiria; Nitrospirales; Nitrospiraceae.